GCUCAGGACGAACGCUGGCGGUGCGCCUUAUGCAUGCAAGUCGAGCGAAGCUUUUCAGUAGUUUACUACAGAAAAUGACUGAGCGGCGAACGGGUGAGUAACGCGUGAGCAAUCUACCUUAGUUACAGGGAUAGCCCGAGGAAACUCGGAUUAAUACCUGAUAUUCUUUAUUUCUCGCAUGAGAAUAAAAGGAAAGGUCAGCCGAACUAAGAUGAGCUCGCGUUCUAUCAGCUUGUUGGUGAGGUAAAAGCUUACCAAGGCUACGACGGAUAGCUGGUCUGAGAGGACGAUCAGCCACACUGGGACUGAGACACGGCCCAGACUCCUACGGGAGGCUGCAGCAGGGAAUAUUGUGCAAUGAACGAAAGUUUGACACAGCGACACCGCGUGUGGGAUGACGGAUCUAGGUUUGUAAACCACUUUCAGGAGGGAAGAAAAUGACGGUACCUCCACAAGAAGCCCCGGCCAACUACGUGCCAGCCGCCGCGGUAAUA
This 494-nucleotide ribosomal RNA is filed under the name uncultured bacterium. RNAcentral's name for it is "bacterial SSU rRNA". It matches the Rfam family "Bacterial small subunit ribosomal RNA", at positions 22 to 525 of the family's 1533-position model. The record is from RNAcentral.